GGGCAGGCUAGCGCAGAGCUGGGCGCUGGGAAGAUGGUCUGUGCGCUGCAGGCUGCUGAGGCUCGGAGCUGUUGGCUGGCGUGUGGGCCAUCUGGCUGGGAAUGCUGACUUUCUUCCCACCCACACUCCUGUUCUCAGGCCCUUACUUGCCACUGCCGGAUGCAGGAUCCAUCUCCACCCCCGUCUCUGCGCCCUGCCCCGAGGAACAGGGCAGGCAACGGCAGCCAGAGAUAGGAGCUGAUGACAGUAGGGCAUGGAGUAGAGCCUACAAGGCUCCCUUAGAGCACCAACCUAUUGCGAUUAGAUGGUGAUGGGCUGAGACCACAGUAGAAGUUUGGAGGGCGGCUGGUACAGAUGCUGAUAAAACCCUGAGUGCGGAGAGGAAGUACUCUACAUUCAAGCCAGCAGCACCCAGAUCUGAGCCUCGGAGCCCAGGUCACCACAACUACACCGAGCCACCCGCUGCCACCACCUUCCAAAUCCCCAAAUGAGAACCCAGUGUGAUUUCUUAGCUUCCAGGGAAGCCCACCUCUUGGGGGAAGGGGGUGGCUGACAGGAGAACUGACAGCAGAAGGACACUGGGGUGACCAGUCUUCCGGCAUCAGCAGCUACCACCAGGAUAAGUAUCCCCAACCACACCCUUGCACUUCCAUCUCCUCUCCCUGAAGGUUCUAGACCAAAUCUCUCCAUCCAGACCCCAAUGAACGCUUUCUGGGUAACCAUACUGCCUUUUUUCUGAAUGUGAAUGGAUUUGCCUGGCAAAUGGUGAAAGUGGCUUUCUUGGCCCACUGGAUCAGCAUGGUGUGAAAGGUCUUGCCCUUUACUACAGGGGUAACAGGGUAUGGGGAACAAUGCCAGGCGAGCAGCCAGAAGACCCAGAUCCUCAGCCUGACUUGGCCAUUAACUUGUUUUAUGACCUUGGACAAAUCAUGCUGUAACAAUCUCUCUGCAUUUUUUUCAUGUAUAAAGUGAUGUGGGUGAUUUCUAAGGUUCUGGUCCCUUACGGAACCUACGUUUUAUCCUUUUACCUAGCUUCCAAGGAAUUCCCCUAUGGGGCACUACUAUUCUCUCGGAGCCAUGUUCCACUGUGUGAUGUCCCGUGAUGCCAAGGGAAAGAAACUUCUGGAACCCAUCAAUAGCCUUUCUUUGGAACCACUCUGCUGCCACAUAUUUCCCAGCCUUCAAAGACACAGAUGUCCUAUCUUGUCUGAUCGUUGGGGUAAGGACCCUGCCCUGUACCUGACCCACUAACUCAGUGCCCCGCACAGGUUGCAAAGGGGGUGUGUGGCAUCCACAUGAUCCACACGCAGUACAAGGACAGAGGUCCUACCCCACUGGCAGAGAGACACAGGUGAUGCUCACCAAGUUCAGAAGAGAAAAAGGGAGCACUUCACAAGCCUAGGAGUUGAGUAGCGCCCAGCACGGCUUGGCUCCUGUCCUCUGUUACCGGUAAUUCAGAACACCAAGGGAUGGAUGUGGAAAGGUGGACGCUUCCAACUCGCAGGAAGAGGAAAUGACGGAGAAGAAUCUGAGUGCGUUCAAGAGACUUGGCUACGAGCAGACUCGCUACAGCACUGUCUGCAGAAUGACCAGCGAGGACACAGACUUCCAACUGGUUUCCAAGCAAAAGUGUACAUUUGUACAAACUCAUGGUCUCUCUGUUCUGCAGACCACAGCCCCCCACUGCCGCUCCCACGAUGUUAUGCCACGGAUUGUUUUUUAAAAUGGAAGUUCUAGGGGCGCCCGGGUGGCUCAGUCGUUAAGCGUCUGCCUUCG
Long non-coding RNA from Neomonachus schauinslandi (Hawaiian monk seal), 1776 nucleotides. RefSeq lists it as uncharacterized. The transcript is spliced from 3 exons. NCBI's taxonomy places the organism in Eukaryota, Metazoa, Chordata, Mammalia, Carnivora, Phocidae. The record is from RefSeq and is a predicted model, not a curated record.